RNAcentral lists this ribosomal RNA (225 nucleotides) under uncultured bacterium. RNAcentral's name for it is "partial 16S ribosomal RNA". It matches the Rfam family "Bacterial small subunit ribosomal RNA", at positions 116 to 334 of the family's 1533-position model. The record is from RNAcentral.
CGUGGGUAACCUACCCAUCAGAGGGGGAUAACACUUGGAAACAGGUGCUAAUACCGCAUAACAGUUUAUGCCGCAUGGCAUAAGAGUGAAAGGCGCUUUCGGGUGUCGCUGAUGGAUGGACCCGCGGUGCAUUAGCUAGUUGGUGAGGUAACGGCUCACCAAGGCCACGACGCAUAGCCGACCUGAGAGGGUGAUCGGCCACACUGGGACUGAGACACGGCCCAG